This 22-nucleotide microRNA is filed under the name Macaca fascicularis (crab-eating macaque). Its description in RNAcentral is "novel_miR37-5p". The record is from RNAcentral. Lineage: Eukaryota; Metazoa; Chordata; Mammalia; Primates; Cercopithecidae.
UAAACACUGAAAACUAUUGGCA